CCUACGGGAGGCUGCAGUGGGGAAUAUUGCGCAAUGGGCGAAAGCCUGACGCAGCGACGCCGCGUGAGGGAUGAAGGUCUUCGGAUCGUAAACCUCUGUCAGCAGGGAAGAACGGUCACUGUGCUAAUCAGCAGUGAAUUGACGGUACCUGCAAAGGAAGCACCGGCUAACUCCGUGCCAGCAGCCGCGGUAAUACGGAGGGUGCGAGCGUUAAUCGGAAUUACUGGGCGUAAAGCGCGCGUAGGCGGUAUGUCAAGUCAAGGGUGAAAUCCCCGCGCUCAACGUGGGAACUGACUUUGAUACUGGCAGACUGGAGUGUGUGAGAGGAUAGUGGAAGUCGAGGUGUAGGAGUGAAAUCCGUAGAUAUCUGGAGGAACAUCAGUGGCGAAGGCGACUAUCUGGCACAUAACUGACGCUGAGGAGUGAAAGCGUGGGUAGCAAACAGGAUUAGAUACCCCAGUAGUC
RNAcentral lists this ribosomal RNA (465 nucleotides) under uncultured bacterium. Its description in RNAcentral is "partial 16S ribosomal RNA". It matches the Rfam family "Bacterial small subunit ribosomal RNA", at positions 338 to 795 of the family's 1533-position model. The record is from RNAcentral.